AACGAUGAGUGCUAAGUGUUAGAGGGUUGCCGCCCUUUAGUGCUGCAGCAAACGCAUUAAGCACUCCGCCUGGGGAGUACGGUCGCAAGACUGAAACUCAAAGGAAUUGACGGGGGCCCGCACAAGCGGUGGAGCAUGUGGUUUAAUUCGAAGCAACGCGAAGAGCCUUACCAGGUCUUGACAUCCUCUGACAACCCUAGAGAUAGGGCUUC
RNAcentral lists this ribosomal RNA (212 nucleotides) under Bacillus licheniformis. Its description in RNAcentral is "partial 16S ribosomal RNA". It matches the Rfam family "Bacterial small subunit ribosomal RNA", at positions 805 to 1015 of the family's 1533-position model. The record is from RNAcentral. Lineage: Bacteria; Bacillati; Bacillota; Bacilli; Caryophanales; Bacillaceae.